AGUGAACGCUGGCGGUAGGCCUAACACAUGCAAGUCGAACGGCAGCACAGUAAGAGCUUGCUCUUACGGGUGGCGAGUGGCGGACGGGUGAGGAAUACAUCGGAAUCUACUUUUUCGUGGGGGAUAACGUAGGGAAACUUACGCUAAUACCGCAUACGACCUACGGGUGAAAGCAGGGGAUCUUCGGACCUUGCGCGAUUGAAUGAGCCGAUGUCGGAUUAGCUAGUUGGCGGGGUAAAGGCCCACCAAGGCGACGAUCCGUAGCUGGUCUGAGAGGAUGAUCAGCCACACUGGAACUGAGACACGGUCCAGACUCCUACGGGAGGCAGCAGUGGGGAAUAUUGGACAAUGGGCGCAAGCCUGAUCCAGCCAUACCGCGUGGGUGAAGAAGGCCUUCGGGUUGGAAAGCCCUUUUGUUGGGAAAGAAAAGCAGCAGGUUAAUACCCCGCUGUUGACGGUACCCAAAGAAUAAGCACCGGCUAACUUCGUG
RNAcentral lists this ribosomal RNA (490 nucleotides) under uncultured bacterium. RNAcentral's name for it is "partial 16S ribosomal RNA". It matches the Rfam family "Bacterial small subunit ribosomal RNA", at positions 29 to 507 of the family's 1533-position model. The record is from RNAcentral.